Molecule: unclassified non-coding RNA, 1318 nt
Filed under: Pocillopora damicornis (cauliflower coral)
Lineage: Eukaryota; Metazoa; Cnidaria; Anthozoa; Scleractinia; Pocilloporidae
Description: platelet-activating factor acetylhydrolase 2, cytoplasmic-like, transcript variant X2
Source: RNAcentral
UUCAUUCGAUAAGUAGUGUUUUACUUCGUAAAUAUUAUGAUAAAAAGGAAAAUGUCGCGCUGGUUCUCAUUUUGGAGAGUGCAGACAAAGCUCGAAGAAUGUACCGGGCCGUUCUCUGUUGGUUGCAGCGAUUUUAUGUGUGCAAAAGAUGAAUCUACAGGUUUUUCUACUGAAGGUGGUAGCUUUAUACGUUUCUUUUACCCAGCGGAGAAGACGGCUGGAACAUUGGAUGAAUCAAAAAGAUGUUUUUGGAUUCCUCGUCAAGAAUACGCAUCAGGGCUUGUAAACUUCAUGAAACUUCCAGGUUGGGUUUUAGGAAGAUUUUUCUACUGGUGUGUAGGUAGCUUGCAGAUCCCUGCAAUAUACAAUGCACCACUUUGUAAACCUGCUGGAGAGGACCAGUUGUUACCUUGUGUUAUUUUUUCACAUGGCCUGGGAGGUAACAGGUUAAUCUACAACACUUACUGUUGUGAGUUGGCAUCCCAAGGAUGUCUAGUGGCAUGUGUAGAACACAGAGAUGAAUCAGCCUCUGCUACAUACAUUCUAAAGAAGAAUGAUGGAGAUGGGAAUAUGACAGAGGAAUGGAUCCAGUACCACCAUCUCCAAGAAAGUGAUAAUGAGUUUGAAUUUCGAAACAGGCAGGUUCACAUCAGAGCAAAUGAAUGUGUAAGAGCCCAUAACAUUCUUGAAAACAUUCAGUCAGGACAUUUUCCAACAAAUUUGUUCCAGGAAAACUCUAUUUUACAACAGCUCAAGGGAAGACUGGACUUAAAAAGGGUUGCAAUGGUUGGUCAUUCAUUUGGAGGUGCUACUACUGUCCUAUCUUUGGCAAAGGACAAGCGAUUUAGGUGUGGUGUGGCUCUUGAUGUGUGGAUGCUGCCUUUAGGAAAAGGGAUAUUUAAUUAUGAUCUUGAUCAGCCUUUACUGUUUGUCAAUUCACAACAAUUUCAUUGCUGGGACCAAAACGUGGAUCCUCUUAAAAAGUUUAUUAGUAAUAAGCCAGGUUUGCUUUCUUGUCAUUGUUUAUUUUUUCCUCUUCUUCGAACUAAUUUCUCUAUUUCUUGGCUCGAGAGUAGAGUUUUACCUAUAAGAGCGCAUCUUCAUUAUGUUUAAUAAGACCAAAACACAGAAAAUCACAACAGCCAAUCAGAGCAAAGAAAAAUAGCUCAAGGAGCCAAUGGGAACGCAAAGUAAAUGAGAGCAAACUGUCCAAAGCGCGGGAAAAUAAACAAGACCAAUCAUAGCGAUAAGGUGGACAAGACAUAUGAACCAAUGUGACAUACCGUCAGUUCUGCCACCAUACAUACUGUACUGGACC